RNAcentral lists this ribosomal RNA (465 nucleotides) under uncultured bacterium. RNAcentral's name for it is "partial 16S ribosomal RNA". It matches the Rfam family "Bacterial small subunit ribosomal RNA", at positions 338 to 795 of the family's 1533-position model. The record is from RNAcentral.
CCUACGGGAGGCAGCAGUGGGGAAUAUUGCACAAUGGGCGCAAGCCUGAUGCAGCCAUGCCGCGUGUAUGAAGAAGGCUUUCGGGUUGUAAAGUACUUUCAGCGGGGAGGAAGGGAGUAAUGUUAGUACCAUUGCCCAUUGACGUUACCCGCAGAAGAAGCACCGGCUAACUCCGUGCCAGCAGCUGCGGUAAGACGGAGGGUGCAAGCGUUAAUGGGAAUUACUGGGCGUAAGGCGCACGCAGGCGGCUGGUUAAGUCCGAUGUGAACUGCCUGGGCUCAACCCGGGAACUGCAUCUGAUACUGGGAAGCUUGAGUGUCGUAGAGGGAGGUAGAAGUCCUGGUGUAGCGGUGAAAUGCGUAGAGAUGAGGAGGAAUACCGGUGGCGAAGGCGGCCCCCUGGACGAAGACUGACGCUGAGGUGCGAAAGCGUGGGGAGCAAACAGGAUUAGAUACCCCAGUAGUC